Molecule: unclassified non-coding RNA, 348 nt
Filed under: soil metagenome
Description: partial contains 5.8S ribosomal RNA, internal transcribed spacer 2, and large subunit ribosomal RNA
Rfam family: 5.8S ribosomal RNA (bases 1-120)
Source: RNAcentral
GAUGAAGAACGCAGCGAAAUGCGAAAAGUAAUGUGAAUUGCAGAAUUCAGUGAACCAUCGAAUCUUUGAACGCACAUUGCGCCCGCUGGAACUCCGGCGGGCACGCCUGUCCGAGCGUCAUUUCAACCCUCAGGCCCCCCUUCGCGGGCGGGCCUGGUGUUGGGGCCCGGCCGCUACCCUGCGGCCGUCCCCUAAAUUCAGUGGCGGCCUCGCCGUGAUCCCUUGCGUAGUAAUGCACCUCGCACCGGAGAGCGCCGUGGCCACGCCGUAAAACCCCCAAUUCUCAAUGGUUGACCUCGGAUCAGGUGGGAAUACCCGCUGAACUUAAGCAUAUCAAUAAGCGGAGGA